RNAcentral lists this long non-coding RNA (30791 nucleotides) under Gossypium barbadense (sea-island cotton). RNAcentral describes it as "long non-coding RNA (GBAR_LNC006417)". The record is from RNAcentral. Lineage: Eukaryota; Viridiplantae; Streptophyta; Magnoliopsida; Malvales; Malvaceae.
AAAUGGGGGUUAGCGCUCGAUUUCGUUGGUCCCAUCCAAUUCAAGUGCAUGCAAUUGGAUUGUUUCCUUAUUCAAUGAAGGAAUUUUUAAGUUCAACCAACCUAUUUUCAAAAUAGGAAGUGGAUAAAUAAAAAUUUUGGGAGAGUCUUUCAUUUGUCCAUCAUUAUAGGCAACACCAUCCAUAUUAUCUAUGGAAUUCGAACCCGAACUCUAUUUAUGAUUCCUUAUUUCUAUCUCAUUAGCCUUGUUUCAAUUUCAUUUCAUAUUUUAUUUUAGCAUAUCGAUUUUUUUUUACUUUACGUCCAACCUCUCCCCCCUUUUUCCAUCUAUAUUCCCUUUUUUUUUCAUUUCAGGGCCGAAUUACGCCUGUUUUCACAUCUAGGAUUUACAUAUACAACAUAUAUUACUGUCAAGGGUGAAUUUUUUAUUUUAUUGAGCUUAUAAUAUAUAAUUUAUAUUAGAUGUUAGAAUAUUAAUUCUAUUAUAUAUUUAUCUAUUCUAUUAUAUAUAUAUUCUAAUAUAUAUUAGUAUUAUUUUUAUAUUAUUUAUGUAACACCCCGCACCCGAGACCGCUGUCGGAGUCGGACACGAGGGGUUAACGGCUUAAACCACUCAUUUUCACAGUCCAUUUUAAAAAUUUCUAGGCAGUUGGCUAACUGCAUCACUGUCACUUUAAAAAUUAUAUCUUGAGUUCCAGAACUCGAAAAUAAGUUUUGUAAUUUUUCCCUGAAACUAGACUCAUAUUUUCAUCUACAGAUUUUUUUCUAGAAUUUUGUGUUGGGCCAAUUAGUACAGUUUAUUAGUUGAAGUCUCCCCUAUUACAGGGUGCGACUACACUGACCUUCAUGCAUUUCGACCUGGAUAUCUCCCUGUACAGGGCUUCAAUACUGAUGCCGUUUGUUUCUAUAGAAACUAGACUCAAAAAGGAAUCUAUACAUAUAUGGCAUGACUUCUAAAUGUCUCUGGUUAAUUUAUAAUAAAUUUCCAAAGUCAGAUCAAGGGAUCCAGAAACCGUUCUGGCCCUGUCUCACGAAAACUUUAACAUCUCAUAAUAUAAUCUUCAUAUUAACAUUUCGUUACUUUCCUAUGAAAAUAGAUUCAUCAAGGUUCGAUUACAUAAUUUAUUCACUAUUUAAUUCCAUUCCUACUAUUUUUAGUGAUUUUUCACAUCCACAUCACUGCUGCUGCCAGCAUCUAUUUUUAAGGUAAACUUUACCUAUUUCAUGAUCCUUCAUGGAUCAACUAGAGUUUGUCAUACAUAUAUCAAAAGUGAUCAUGAAUAACCAUUCCCAUGGCUAACUGUUGCCAACAUUUCCAUACCUCUCGACGGACAACAUACAAAACGAUUAUAAUGCUAUGAUCAAAGUAUAUUUAAGCCAUUUUCACAUGGCUAUCCAAAUUUACACAAUACCGAAGGGUUCAUGACCAACAACAAAAGGGUGGUCCUAUACAUGCCAUUUCAAAGUUCAACCAAAAGUAUACCAAAAGGAGCUUUGAUAGUGUGGGCGACUUCGACUUCAAAAUCCCGAGUCCGAUAGCUGAAGAACCAAAAUCUAUAAAAUAGAGAAUCAAAGAAACGGAGUAAGCAUUAAAUGCUUAGUAAGUUUUGAGCAAAGAAUUUAGACACAACCAAAGUAUAGCAUUCAUGUAGUUAAACAGAUAAUUUCAUAUGCACAAAUUUUCAAUAUCAUACUUACUUCACAUUACCAACCCUUAUAUUCAUACACAAAGAUCAACUUAGCCAAAGGCCGGUAGCUCAUUUAUCAACUGAGCGAAUACUUAUUUGUAAGGGCUCAACUAAUUCAAAGCACAUACGAAACAUACCUCAAUGUUUGGAUGUUACAAGCGUAUUAACUGAAAUUUUUACAGCAAGAUCGUUCAUUCCCGAAUAACGUACCUUCGGAAUUUAACCGGAUAUAGCUACUCAUUCAAAUGCCUUCGGGACAUAGCCCGGUUAUAGUAACUCGCACAAAUGCCUUCGGGACUUAACCCGGAUUUAGUAACUCGCACCAAUGCCUUCGAGCUUAGCCCGGAAUUAGUAACUCGCACAAAUGCCUUCGGAUCUUAGUCCGGAUAUGGUCACUUAGCACAAAGCCUUCGGGACUUAGCCCGGACAUCAUUCGAAUAACCAUGCACAUUUAACAAUAAAUCAUGACACAUUCGUAUUUCAUUUUCAUUAGCAAAACUCAAACACAAGACACUUAUCACUCUUGCAAUUUCGGCUCAAUAGCCACACACAAAGAGCAUGAUUUUGAUUUGCUUAAAACAUGAUCUAAUCAAAUCAUAAUUUAAGCUCUAUUACUCAAGAACUUACCUUGGAUGUUGUCGAACGAUUUCGUUCGCUAUUCGACCACUUUUUCCUUCCCUUUAUCGGAUUUAGAUCCCCUUUGCUCUUGAGCUUAAUUAAACAAAUAAAUUGAUUUAAUCAUUUGAGCAUCGAAAAGAGGAACACAAGGCACUUAGCCCAUAUUUAUACAUUAGACAUUAAAGUCACAUACAUGUGAAAUCAUGCAUCAACUCAACAUAUUAACCCACACUCCCUUUUAGCCGAUUGUCCUAACCAAGAUAAAGGCAUCAAUAUGCUUGCCUCUAACCGAAUGCAUGCAACACUAAUCUUCUCAUGUGGCCGAGUAUGCAUGUAUAUGUUGAGGCCAAUUAUAUGCUUAAUACUUCCCACAAGUAUGGUUACUUGUAUUGGUUAUAUAUCGUUUCGUUUCAAAUUCAAAACUCGGCUAAUACGCAUUUAUACACUAGUAAUCAAAUACUAACAUUUUGCAUUUUAUCUUACUACCAUUUCACAUCUACUUUCUACCAUGGCCGAAUGCAUCAAGACACCAUUUACCCUUGCAAGGCAUAAAUUUCAUCAUCAAAACUAACAAGCUUAUAAUCCCAUGACCGAAACCUCUGACAACACCAAUUAAAAUACUUCAUGGGUUUGAGGUAAAACCAAGAAAGAAACUCAUGAAUAUCGAGAUAUAAGCACUAACAUUGUUCAUCUAGAUUUAGCAUGACACAACAUCCAUCACCCUUAUAUUUACCAUAGCCGAAAACCUUACUCAUUCCAAAAAUUCAAAUCUCAACUUGGUCACAAAAAUAACUUGAUAUCUCACCAACACAACAUCAACACCAAGCAAGAAUGAUGCAUCCAUGGCCGGGUGUCAUUUCCAUCACAUAGCAAGAUUUAGACCAUGGGCUAGGUAGAACUCAAGCUAACAACUAAAACAUGCAUGCAUCUCAAGGAACAUCAUCAAACAUACCUUAGCCUAGCUACAUGCGUGGCCGAACCUCUUCAACCUUUCUUCUUCCUUCCUCCUUAAAAUUUUCGGCCAAGGAUGAACCAAAGGAUGAACACUUUUUUUUUUGUUUUUCUUUCCUUCAACUCACAGCAAUGGGGGGACAAUCACACACAUCCUUUCUUUUUUUUUUGUUUCUCAUCCUACUAACACUAAUAUUUUAUUGCCCAUGCUCUUUAUUUUAUUAAUCCUUACAUAAUGCAUUACCCCAACAUGUUUAUGACAUGUUUUUAGCCAUAACAUCUUGUCCACCCAUGCUCAUGGCUGGCCACUACAUAUUAGGGGGGGAAAUUGACAUGCAAGUCCUCCCUUUUGAUUACAUGCACUAUUAGGUCCUUGUAGAUUAGCCUAUCACAUUUCAAAAAUGUCACCCAUAAGUCCUUUUGACUAAAUUCACAUGCAAUUUACUAAAUCGAAGCCUAAAAGUUUCACACAUUCAUAAUCACAUAUUUUAGACAAUAAAUAUCACAUUCAAAUAAUUUGGUGACUCGGUUUAACGGUCCCGAAACCGCUUUCCGACUAGGGUCACUUUAGGGCUGUCACAAUUUAUCUAUUUCUUAUCUAUUUCUAUUUCAUUUAUUCCAUUUGCAUUUAGAAUUUUGAUUAAAAAAAAGUAAGGAAUUAUAAACUUGAAAAACACAGAUCAGGUUGCGCCAUACAUAUGAAAGAAUAUAGAAUAAUGAUGUAUUUGGCGAAUCAAAUACCAUGGUCUAAUAAGGAACCUUUCGGAUUCGUUGAUAAUUUUUUGAAAGAUUUCUUCGAAAAGGUUUCAUUAACUCCUCAUUUAUAUCGAGUAGACCUUGUUGUUGCGAGAAUUCUUAAUUCAUGAGUUGUAGGGAGGGACUUAUGUCACCACAAACAGAGACUAAAGCAAGUGUUGGAUUCAAAGCUGGUGGUAAAGAGUAUAAAUUGACUUAUUAUACUCCUGAAUAUGAAGUCAAAGAUACUAAUAUCUUGGCAGCCUUCCGAGUAACUCCUCAACCCGGAGUUCCGCCUGAAGAAGCAAGGGCCGCGGUAGCUGCUGAAUCUUCUACUGGUACAUGGACAACCGUGUGGACCGAUGGGCUUACCAGCCUUGAUCGUUACAAAGGGCGAUGCUACGACAUUGAGCCUGUUCCUGGAGAAGAAGAUCAAUAUAUAUGUUAUGUAGCUUACCCUUUAGACCUUUUUGAAGAAGGUUCUGUUACUAACAUGUUUACUUCCAUUGUGGGUAAUGUAUUUGGGUUCAAAGCCCUGCGCGCUCUACGUCUAGAGGAUCUGCGAGUCCCUACUGCUUAUAUUAAAACUUUCCAAGGCCCGCCUCAUGGCAUCCAGGUUGAAAGAGAUAAAUUGAACAAGUAUGGUCGCCCCCUAUUAGGAUGUACUAUUAAACCUAAAUUGGGGUUAUCUACUAAGAACUACGGUAGAGCAGUUUAUGAAUGUCUACGUGGCGGGCUUGAUUUUACCAAAGAUGAUGAGAAUGUGAACUCCCAACCAUUUAUGCACUGGAGAGACCGUUUCUUAUUUUGUGCCGAAGUAAUUUUUAAAUCACAGGCUGAAACAGGUGAAAUCAAAUGGCAUUACUUGAAUGCUACUGUAGGUACAUGUGAAGAAAUGAUCAAAAGGGCCAUGUGUGCUAGAGAAUUGGGAGUUCCUAUCGUAAUGCACGACUACUUAACAGGUGGGUUCACUGCAAAUACUAGCUUGGCUCAUUAUUGCCGAGAUAAUGGUCUACUUCUUCACAUCCAUCGCGCAAUGCACGCCGUUAUUGAUAGACAGAAGAAUCAUGGUAUGCACUUUCGUGUACUAGCUAAAGCUUUACGUAUGUCUGGUGGAGAUCAUAUUCACGCUGGUACAGUAGUAGGUAAACUUGAAGGAGAAAGGGACAUAACUUUGGGCUUUGUUGAUUUACUACGUGAUGAUUUUAUUGAAAAAGAUCGAAGCCGUGGUAUUUAUUUCACUCAAGAUUGGGUUUCUAUGCCAGGUGUUCUGCCCGUAGCUUCGGGGGGUAUUCACAUUUGGCAUAUGCCUGCUUUGACCGAGAUCUUUGGAGAUGAUUCCGUACUACAAUUCGGUGGAGGAACUUUAGGACACCCUUAGGGAAAUGCACCGGGUGCCGUAGCUAAUCGAGUAGCUUUAGAAGCAUGUGUACAAGCUCGUAAUGAGGGACGUGACCUUGCCCGCGAGGGUAAUGAAAUUAUCCGCGAGGCUAGCAAAUGGAGUCCUGAACUAGCUGUUGCUUGUGAAGUAUGGAAGGCGAUCAAAUUUGAAUUCGACGCAGUGGAUAAAUUAGAUAAAGUGGAAAAAUGAGAUAAACCAGCUUCAUAAAUCAAAUUUGAAUUCGAAGCAAUGGAUACUUUGUAAUCCAGUAAUUACUGUCGGUUUGUUGAAUUGCAAUUAAACUUGGCCCAAUCUUUUACUAAAAGGAUUGAGCCGAUUCUAUUGUCUAUAUUUUUGAUAGAUAUAUUUUUAUCUAGAUAUACAAGAUCUUAAAUACAAAAAUAAAAGACUAAACACAACUCAAAUUUUCUCCUGGGUCCAUAAUUAAUCCUAUGUAUGGAUCCUUAGGAUUGGUGUAUUCUUUUCUAUCCUAUAUACCACGGUUUCGGAUCAUGGAUCGAGCCAAGCAUCACAACUUCUUCUACCCAUCCUGUAUGUUGUCCUUUUGGCUCCGUGUUGGAAUAGAAACUUAUUGUAUUAGUAGAUGAGAUUUUACGAAAAAGGUUCUUGAUAGGAGAAAAUUUUCUUUUUCAAUUUUUUCAGUGCGGAUUUUACACAACAUGGGGAAAUCACUAUUUCUAAUUGAAAAUUGAUAUUUCUAAUUCAAAAGAAAAAAAAGCUCUAUCCUAUCAUAUAUAAUGAACUGCUACUCUAGGUUCUCACAAAAGAGAAUCGUUUCUUUCAAUAUUCACUCAUUGUUCGUUAAUAACCCUAGUGAUUGUAUCUAGUAUGCGUAUUCUGAUAGGAAAUAAAAUAUUCAAUUGAUUUUUCAUCGAAUGACUAUUCAUCUACUAUACUUUCAUGGAAAUAGAGGCAAGAAAGCUCUAUGGAAAAAUCAUGGUUCAAUUUGAUCUUGUCUAAGGGAGAAUUAGAAUACAGAUGUGGGCUAAGUAAAUCAAUGGAUAGCCGCCUUGGUCCUGCUGAAAAUACUACUGUAAAAGAAGACCCGACUAGAAAUGAUACAGAUAAAAACAUUCAUGAUUGUAGUCACAGCUCUAGUUAUUACAGUAAGGUUGAUCAUUUAGUUGACGUCAAAGACAUUCAAAAUUUCAUUUCUGAUGACACCUUUUUAAUUAGGGAUCGUAAUCAGGACCGUUAUUCCAUAUAUUUUGAUAGUGAAAAUCAAAUUUUUGAGCUUAACAAUGAUCAUUCUUUUUUGAGUGAACUAGAAAGUUUUUUUUAUAGUUAUCAUAAUUCUAGUUAUAUGAAUAAUGGAUCGAAAAAUGAUGAGCCCCACUAUCAUUUUAACUUGUAUGAUAAUGAUACUAACUGUGGUUGGAAUAAUCACAUUAAUAGUUGUAUUGACUCUUAUCUUCGUUCUCAAAUUUGUAUUGAUAGUUCCAUUUUAAGUGGUAGUGAUAAUUCCAAUGAUAAUUAUAUUUAUAAUUACAUUUGCGGCGAAGGUGGAAAUAGUAGUGAAGGCAAGAAUUUCGAUAUAAUAACUCGUGAAAAUGGUAAUGAUUUAACUCUAAAAGAAAGUUCUAAUGAUCUCGAUCUAUACAAGGAUUUGUGGGUUCAAUGCGAAUGCGAAAAUUGUUAUGGAGUAAAUUAUAAAAAAUCGCUUAAUUCAAAAAUGAAUAUUUGUGAACAAUGUGGAUAUCAUUUGAAAAUGAGGAGUUCAGAUAGAAUCGAACUUUCGAUUGAUCCAGGCACUUGGGGUCCUAUGGAUGAAGACAUGAUCUCUCUGGAUCCCAUUGAAUUUCAGUCUGAAGAAGAGCUUUAUAAAGAUCGUAUUGAUUUUUAUCAAAGAAAGACAGGAUUAACUGAGGCUAUUCAAACAGGCACGGGUCAACUAAACAGUAUUCCUAUAGCAAUCGGGGUUAUGGAUUUUCAGUUUAUGGGGGGAGUAUGGGAUCCGUAGUAGGCGAGAAAAUCACCCGUUUGAUCGAAUAUGCUACCAAUAAUUUUUACCUCUUAUUCUAGUGUGUGCUUCCAGAGGAGCACGCAUGCAAGAAGGAAGUUUGAGCUUGAUGCAAAUGGCUAAAAUAUCUUCCGCUUUAUAUGAUUAUCAAUCAAAUAAAAAUUUAUUUUAUGUAUCAAUUCUUACAUCUCCUACUACGGUGGAGUGACUGCGAGUUUUGGUAUGUUGGGGGAUAUCAUUAUUGCUGAACCCAAUGCCUAUAUUGCAUUUGCAGGUAAAAGAGUAAUUGAGCAAACAUUGAAUAAAACAAUACCGGAAGGUUCACAGGUGGUUGAAUAUUUAUUCCAUAAGGGUUUAUUCGAUCCAAUCGUACCACGUAAUCCUUUAAAAGGUGUUCUGAGUGAGUUAGUUCAGCUCCACGGUUUUUUCCCUUUGAAUCAAAAUUCAAUCAAGUAGAGUCUUAAGUGAAAUUUUUUUAUUUGUAGUGAAAAGGUAGUUAGUUAGUUUAUCAGAAUCAAAGUCAAAGCCCACGUAAUGGGCUUUGACUUUGUGAAAAAAAAGGAAUUGUCGAAAAACAAAUUAUGUGGAUAAUUAUUAUUAUCAUUAUCCGAUAUUAUUAAUGAGUAAACCUCUAGCAACAAGAUAAAAAGCGAAUUUUUCCUUCUGUGAAAUGAAAUUCGAAUUUGGAGAGACAAAUAAAACGAAUUUUAUCCUCCUCUAUUGCGUAUGUAUAUAGAAUUUAAAUAGAGAAAAAAUAGAAUAGAAAUAUAGAGUUUUGCAUCUUUCUAUAUCUCUCGAAAAUUCUAUUUUUACUAAUAAUCCCUGUUCUUGGAUCGGAUUCUAACGAAUCGAAUCUUUCGAAAAUUUGUAAUAAACUCUUUCUUUAUUAAAUUCAAAAAUGCAAAUUAGAAGACAAGAACAAUAGAAUAAUAAGAAAAGUAAGAAUAAAGUAAGAUAAUAAAGAAAGUGGAUUAUCUUAUCAUAUACAUCUAUUUUAUUUGAUUUAAAAAGAGUAAGAUAAUAAAGAAAGUGGAUUAUCUUAUCAUAUACAUCUAUUUUAUUUGAUUUAAAAAGAUGGGCAAGUCCUUUUAUUUAAUUCUACAUUCCUUGCACUUAUUAGAUAUCUAUUAGAUAUAUAGAUUCACUUAGAUAUACUUAGUAUUUAGAUAUAAUUAGUAUAAUAUACGAAUUAUAAUAGAAUCGUUAAAAGAUAUAUUUCUAACUAAACAAUAUAACAAUAACAGGUACAAAUAUUAAAUUGAGGUACCCAUUUUAUGACAACUUUCAGCAGUUUUCCCUCUAUUUUUGUGCCUUUAGUAGGCCUAGUAUUUCCGGCAAUUGCAAUGGCUUCUUUAUCUUUGUAUGUUCAAAAAACUAAGAUUUUUUAGAUUCGAUGGGGCCAAGACCAAAUCUUAUCUAUUUUUUUUCAAGACUUAGAUGUCAUGGAUACCUAUUUAGUAGAAUAUUGUAUAACAUCUGGCUUACCCGAACCGAACAUAAAUGAAAAAGCCCCUCUUAUGCAUACGUAAACAUGGUAUAGGGUUAAAUGAAUUAUAGCAAGUGGAUCGGUACAGAACGGAUGUAUGAAAUUAAAGUCUAUAUAUCUAGUAGAUCCGUAUAGGCGAUCAUAUAAAGGGGAUGAUUUUAGAUCGAAGCAAUUUGAUGAAUUCCUUUUAAAAGUUCAUAUCAAAAGAGUACUAGUUGAUGAGAGUUGCUUCGGAAACAAAAAAAGUAAAGUCGAAUUUUUUUGGUUAUUCUCUCAAUUCGAAUAAAAUGCAACUGGAUCUAGUAUGUAUGAGUUGGCGAUCAGAAUCUAUAUGGAUAGAAUUUAUAGUGGGAUCUCGAAAAACAAGCAAUUUUUGCUGGGCCUUUAUCCUUUUUUUUGGUUCAUUAGGGUUUUUAUUAGUUGGAACUUCUAGUUAUCUUGGUAGGAAUUUGAUAUCUUUAUUUCUGUCUCAGCAAAUAGUUUUUCUUCCACAAGGAAUCGUGAUGUCUUUCUAUGGGAUCACAGGCCUCUUUAUUAGUUCCUAUUUGUGGUGCACAAUUUUUUGGAAUGUAGGCAGUGGUUAUGAUUGAUUCGAUAGAAAGGAGGGAAUAGUCUGUAUUUUUCGUUGGGGUUUUCCUGGAAAAAAUCGUCGCAUCUUUCUACGAUUCCUUAUGAAAGAUAUUCAGUCCAUCAGAAUAGAAGUUAAAGAGGGUAUUUAUGCUCGUCGUGUCCUUUAUAUGGAAAUCAAAGGCCAGGGGGCCGUUCCCUUGACUCGUACUGAUGAGAAUUUGACUCCGCGCGAAAUUGAACAAAAAGCUGCUGAAUUGGCCUAUUUUUUGCGUGUACCGAUUGAAGUCUUUUGAAAUGAAUUGCAGAAUAAAAGCUUUCUCGCCGGGAGGAAAAAGCUCAAUCCAAGAAUCCUCUUUUUUCUAUAGCAGAACUAAACUGAAGUUUCUUCAAAAUGCCCAUUCAAACCAAAGCGAACGUAUACGGAAGAGUCAUAACAUAAAAAAACAGUUUUUUUUGUCCACAAAAAUAGUUUUUUAUGCGUCUGUAAAUGUAAAACCGCUCAACUUAAUUCAGUAACAAAAUAAGCAAGAAAUUGAAAUACUGGAUUCAUCUCAUAUAUCAAAUCGAAAUAAAGACUUUCGCUUUUUAUUUGCAAUAUUUGGAGUUGAUACGUUAGAUACAGAUAGAUCAUAUCUUGUAAAUUUUCUCUACUUUUCUUUUCUCAAUCGGCCCCUCCCCUUUUAUCCUUUCUUUUGUGCUCCUUAAGAACUAAAGAACUAAACAAGUGGAUUUCUUUCUUAUAACAUAAUGAUAAACGUAAUGAUAACUUUUCUGUCUUUUUUUGUCACUCAUUUUUUAUCAGCAUAAUAUUUUUCCUAAUUUUUUUUUCAAUUAUUGCUGGACUCUAGACUAUAUAUAGUUUAGAUAACCCGCGAAAAUUUUCGACAUAUUUGAUUGCGAUCUUGAUAUAGACAGGGCGCUCCUUCGUCUCAAAAUCUGAAUAGAACAAUCUUUAUUAUCUGAAGCGGUUCUUUCAGGCAGUUAUCAAAAGAGGGCAAUUGCUUCAAAUUUGAUCAAUUGAGAUUGCGCUGAUACCCCAUCACCGGAGGAGGGUUACAAGGUAUUAUCAAUCAAUUCACAACAUAUAGCAUACAUUUCUUAAAUAUAAAGCAUUCAUUCUCAUAAAUCAUUCAAUACAAUCACAUUGUCCCUUAUAAGGGCCUACAAGACCUUAAACAUGCUUUAGAAGUGGUUCGGGACUAAACCGAUAAUACAUGAAAAUUUUAGAAACUUAAAAAAAUUUCAACCAUACAGGGGUCACACGCCCAUGUGAACAAGCCGUAUGCCUCACACGGCUCCAGACUUGCCCGUGUCUCAGGCCAUGUGAAAACAGGGCAUACAUACUGACUUAGGUCACAUAGCCAACCACACGCCUGUGUGUCUAGCUCGUGUGCCCUUCGAAGUGGCCACACACGCCAGUCUGCCAGGCCGUGCCAAAACUAUAGACUAUACUGACUUAUGCAACACGGCCAAGUCAUACGCUGAUGUGCUAGGUCGUGUGCUAGUUAGGGAGUAUACUGACUUGUAUCACAUGGCCAAUCACAUGCCCGUGUGUGAGACCAUGUGGAACAUACUGACUUCAUUUCAAUUUCAUCACUAGAGGACACACGGCCGUGUAACAUGACCGUGUGUCACACACGGCUGAGACACACACCCAUGUCUCUGCCUAUGUGGACAAAAAUAGGCCAUUUGCAAGGCCAAUUUUCCACCCUUAUUCAUGCUCUCCUAAACAACAAAAAUGGUACCAUUUCAUCAUACAAUUAGGUAGCCAAAAUCAUCAACCAAAUGCACAACUCAUGCCAUUGUAAUUUCAUCUCUUCCAGAUCUCAAUCACUAUAAUUUAUUUAGCCAAAAACAUGCCAAAACAAUAUCAAUCUAUAUAAUUCAUUUAUCAUAAUUCAAACUCACAUAACUUCCUUAUAAACAACCACACAACAUCUAAAAUCAUACCUCAUCAAGGCAUUUCUCAAGCAUUUUACACUCUAUAAAUUAAUUAACCAUUUGAGCAACUAUAAAACCAUAACUACAUUCAUACCAAACAUACCAAAAUAAACCAUCACUCAUAGCUAUAUAUACAAACCAAAACAUAUACAAUUUACAAGCCAAAUCUUAUGGCUAUAAUCACAACCAAAAUACAUCUAGCCUAUACAUGCCAUAUGCCAAAUAUGUAUAAUCCAUAAGUACCAUCUGAGGUUUUUGAUAGUGUGAUGAUGUUCCCGACGACUCCAGGAUCCGAGCUAGCCUUGAUUCACUAUAAAACAUAGAAAAUUAACACAAAGUAAGCUUAAUAGCUUAGUAAGCUCAAUGAUAUAAACUUAACUAAUCACAAAUACAACUUUCAUCAAUCUAAACAUGUUACCAUGUACUUUAUUAUUACUAAUAAACCUUUCAACUUCUUAUUCAUAAGUUUAUAAACAAACUUUGUAGAUUCUUUAUUUUUAAGCUAAUAAUAUACAUGUACAUACCUGUACCAAUCCAUAACAAGUUCAUACAUACACAGAAUGUCGUUGAGUACUCACUAUCUCGCACAUUAAGUGGCAUACUCAAUAUCCCGCACACUAUGUGCCAUACAUAACCGAAGCUAUCUCAAAUCACACACUAAGUGCCAUAUAUAGCCGAAGCUAUGUCGAAUCACACACUAAGUGCCAUAUAUAGCCGAAGCUAUAUCAUAUCGCACACUAAGUGCCAUAAAUAACCGAUUUUUCGUCGAACAUAUCUGUAGUCCCGUAUAUACAAUUUAUGCAAUAGAAAAUCACUAUAAGCUUAAUUAUUGCAAUGCUUAAUUUAUACGAACUUACCUCAGACCUCUACUUUAAUGAUCCAUAGCUAUUUAAUACCUUUAAAUAAUGGAACUCAAGUUUUAUGCUUUAUGCAAUUUAGUCCUUUUUACCGAAUUAACCAUUCAAACAGUAAAAUUUCUUUAUGAAACUUUCACACAUACACGCUAUCAUACUGCAAACACUUAAAAUAAUAUUAAAAUAGUUUUACGACCUCAAAUUUGUGGUCUCAAAACUACUAUUCUGAUUUGACUAAAAACAGGCUGUUACAGAAUCAACACCGAGGCCUUGGUCAAUAACAAUUUAACUGAUCGAAGCUUUGUUGACACUUUUUAGACCAUUCAAACUUCACAUCUUUCUGGAGUAACUUCGUCAAUGAUGUAGCAAUCAUCGAAAACCCUUUUACAAAUAUCCAAUAAUAUCCAACUAGACUCAAUAGACUUUUGUUCUCUAAAACAUUUCUCAGAGAUUUCCUGUCUAUUAUAGCUGAUACUUUACUCGGAUAAACUUUAAUACUGUCUGCCAAUACGUGUCCCAAAAAUCCAACUUCUCGAAGCUAGAACUCACACUCGCUAAACUUAGCAAAUAACUAUUUCUCGUGUAAAGUCUACAAAAUUACUCUCAAAUGCUAUGCAUGCUCAAUUUCAUCUCGGGAAUAGGUAAGAAUGCCAUUAAUGAAUACAACUAAAAUUGGUUUAAAUACGAUCGAAAUAUUCUGUUCAUCAAAUCUAUAAACAUAGCAGAUGCAUUGGUUAAACGAAACGGCAAAACUAAAAAUUCAUAAUGUUCGUACCUGGUUCCAAAAGCAGUCUUCGAUACAUUUGAAUCUUUAACCCGCAACUAAUAAUAUCUAAAACGGAGGUCAAUCUUUGAAAAUAUUGUCACACCUUUCAGUUGAUCAAACAAAUCAUCAAUAGGCGACAAAGGAUAACUUUUUCUUGAUCGUGACUUUGUUAAGCUGCCUAUAGUUGACACAUGAUCCCAUUUAACCGUAUUUUUUCUUAACAAACAAUACAAGAGCUCCCCAGGGUGAAAUACUAGGCCGAACAAAGCCUCUUUCUGCAAUUCUUACAACUGUGCUUUCACAUCUUUCAAUUAUGUAGGUGUCAUUCUAUAUGAAGCUAUUGAUAUCGGAGAAGUUCCCAGUAUUAACUCAAUAGUAAAUUCAACCUCACUGACUGGAGGUAACCCUAGUAACUCUUCUGGGAAUACAUACAAGAGCUCAUAAACAUUUGGAACUGACUCUAAUUUCAAUUCUGAAGCCCUGAAAUCAAAUAUGUAAGCUAGAUAUGCUUCACAACCUUUUCUAACAUAUUUCUGAGUUGACAUAGAUGAAAUCAUAUUAGUUGUACCAUCAAAUCUAUCAGAUUCAAUCCGAACUAUUUCACCAUUCUGACAUUUCAACAAAAUUUGCUUCUUUAUACAAUUUAAAACAACAUCAUGCAGAGUCAACCAAUUCAUAUUAAGAAUUACAUCGAACUCAUCAAAUGGUAAUAGCAUCAAAAUUAGUCGCAAGGUUGCAAUCCCAAAUCAUCAAAGGAUAGUUUCUACAAACUUUAUCAACAAAUACAUACUAACCUAAAGGAUUCUUUACUUUGAUCACAAAUUUAGUUGACUCGUAAGAUACUUUCUUAUCUAACACUAAGGUUGUGCAUAUAUAUGAGUGCGUUUACCACAGGUCAAUCAAAGCAUUAACAUUAGUAUCAAAGAUAAAAAAUGUACUGGUAAUCACAUCAAGUGACGAAGCUUUCUCUCGAGCUCUUAUUGCAUAUGCCCUAGCUAGUACUCGAGCCUCAUAUCCAACUGUAGAUUCUUUCGUUCCACUUCGACUAUUACUCGCAUUACCACUACUUUUGGAUUGUCUCUCUCUUGCAAAGGUGUUACUUGAACGAGUGUUCUGACCUUUCUAUCUAUCAGAUCUUUUACGGCAGUCUCUAAGAAAAUGGUCAUAGGAACCAUAUUUGAAGCACGAUCCAUCUCUCAAUCUGUACUCCCUGAAAUGUCAUCUAUUGCACUGUUGACAUUCAGGUUUAUUAUUUCUAACACUACCCACACUCGCUACAGAAGUAGCCUGAGGUCUCGAACUUGAAUGUUGCUUCCCUUUAUCUCUUCCCGAGAAUCCUACUAAAGUUGAUGUACUGUAACACCCCAUACCCGAGACCGUUGCCGGAGUCGGACACGAGGGGUUAACAGACUUAAUUCCCUUAUUUUUACAGUCCAUUUUAAAAAUUUCCAGACUAACUGGCUAACUGCGUCACUGUCACCUUAAAAAUCAUAUCUUGAGUUCCAAAACUCGAAAAUCAGUUUUGUAAAUUUUCUCUGAAACUAGACUCAUAUAUCCAUCUACAAACUUUUUUCUAGAAUUUUUGGUCGGGCCAAUUAGUACAGUUUAUUAGUUAAAGUCUCCCAUGUUUUAGGGUUCGACUGCUCUGACCUUCAUGCAUUACAACUUAUAUAUCUCCCUUUACAGGGCUUCAAUACUUAUGUCGUUUGUUUCUAAAGAAACUAGACUCGAAAAGGAAUCUAUAAAUAUAUGGCAUGACUUAUAACUAUCUCUGGUUAAUUUAUAAUGAAUUUCCUAAGUCCGAACAGGGAAUCCAGAAACCGCUCUAUCCCUGUUUCACGAAAACUUUAAAAUCUCAUAAAAUACUGUUCAUAUGAUCAUUUCAUUACUUCCCUAUGAAAAUAGAUUCAUCAAGGUUCAAUUUCAUAAUUUAUUCACUAUUUUAUUCCAUUCCUACUAUUUUUAGUGAUUUUUCAAAUUCACACCGCUGCUGCAGUCAGCAUCUACCUUUAAGCUAGACUUUACCUAUUACAUAGUUUCCAUGAUUCACCCAACCCUUUAGCAUAUAUAGCACAAAGUAUGAUCGUGAUUAACCAUUCCAAUGGCCAAUCAUUGCCAAGCAUAUCCACACCUCUCAAUAACCAUAUACAUACAAAAUGAUUAUAACAUUAUGUAACACCCCGAACCCGAGAUCGACACCGGAGUCGGACACGAGAUGUUAACAAACUUUGAAAAAAAAAAUUUUUUCAGAGACUGCCCAGUCUGAGUACUAGUCGCUUCAAAAAUCAUAACUUGAGUUUCACAACUCAAAAAUCAGUUUUGUGAUUUUUCCCUGAAAUUAGACUCAUGUCCCCACCUAUAGAUUUUUUUCUAGAAUUUUUGGUCGGGCCAAUUAGUACAGUUUAUUAGUCAAAGUCUCCCAUGUUACAGGGGUCGACUACACUGACCUUUUCCCAUUACGACUUGGAUAUCUCUCUGCACAGAGCUUCAAUACUGAUGCCGUUUGUUUCUAUGGAAACUAGACUCAGAGAGGAAUCCAUACAUAUAUGGUAUGACCCCUAAUUAUCUCUGGUCAAUUUAUAGUGAAUUUUCAAAGGCGGAACAGUGAAUCCAGAAACUGUUCUGGCCCUGUUCCACAAGAACCCGAAUAUCUCUUUCUGUACUGUUCCUAUAAUUGUUUCGUUACUUCCAUAUGAAAGUAGAUUCAUCAAGGUUCGAUUACAUAAUUUAUUCACUAUUUAAUUCCACUCCUACGAAUUCUUGUGAUUUUUCCAAUCCACACCACUGCUGCUAUCAGCUUCUGUUUUCAAAGUGAACCUUACCUAAUUUGGGGUUUCAUGGACCAACUAGGGCCUUGUCAUACAUAAGCCCACAUAUGAUCAUACUUAGCCAUUCUAGUGGCUGAUCAUUUGCUCAACACUUCCAUUCCAACAUAGUUACAUCAUGAAACCAUCUAUACAUUCACAAAUACGAAUGGUCUAAUGCCAUACUCCACUUCUACAAGCCAUUUUCGCAUGGUUGUACACUUAUUAUACAUUUCAUAAAGUACUCGAAAGACAACAAUGGGUAGUCCUAUACAUGCCAUAACAAAAUUCAACCAAAAUAGUACCCAAAAGAGCCUUUGAUAGUGUGGGCGACUUCGACUUCAAGAUCCCGAGUCCGAUAGCUGGAGAACCAAAAAUCUAUAAAACAGAGGAGCAAUGUAACGAGUAAGCAAUUUAUGCUUAGUAAGUUUGAGAAAGGAAUUCCAGCAUGCACAAAGAAUAGCACACAUUUAGCUAAACGGAAUAUUUCAUAAUACGCAAUUUACCGAUAUCAAACUUGCUUCACAACAUUAACAACCCUUAUGUACAUACACAAUAAACUAACUUGGCCGAAGGCCGGUAGCUCGUUUAUCAACUGAGCGAACAUUUAUUUGUAAGGGCUCGAUUAAAUUCAACACAUACGUAACAUAUCCCCAUAUUGGGAUGUUUUUCGAGUAUUCGCUGGAAUUUUACAGCAAGCUCAUUCAUUACCAAAUCACGUACCUUCGGGAUUUAACCGGAUAUAGCUCCUCGUUCAAAUGCCUUCGGGACAUAGCCCGGUUUUAGUAACUCACACAAUGCCUUCGGGACAUAACCCGGAUUUAACAACUCGCACGACUGCCUUCGGGACUUAACCCGGAUUUAAUAACUCGCACGAAUGCCUUCGGGACUUAACCCGGAUUUAAUAACUCGCACGAAUGCCUUCGGGACUUAACCCGGAUUUAGUAUCUCGCACAAAGGCCUUCGGAUCUUAAUCCGGAUAUAUUCACUUAGCACAAAGCCUUCGGGACUUAGCCCGGACAGCAUUCAAUUAAUCAUGCACAUCUAACAAUAAUUCAUAGCACAUUCAUAUUUCAUUUUCGUUUACGAAACUCAAACACAAGGCACAUAUUGCCCUUGCACAUUCGGCUCAAUAGCCACACAUAGAGCAUGAUUUAAUCACAUCGAAAUUUAAGCUCUCUUACUCAAGAACUUACCUCGGGUGUUGUCGAACGAUUCCGCUAGCUAUUCAACCACUUUUUCCUUCCCUUUAUCGGUUUUAUUUCCCCUUUGCUCUUGAGCUUAAUCAAACAAAUAAAUUGACCUCAUCAUUUUAGGCAUCAAAAGAUGAACACAAGGCACUUAGCCCAUAUUUAUACAUUAGACAUUAAAGUCUCAUACAUGCAAAAAUCAUGCAUCAACACAACAUAUUAGCUAAUUUCUUGCCCUUGGCCGAAUAUGCAUGUCCAUUUUUGGGGUCGAUUUCAACACUUAAUACACACAUGUACACACUAGUAAAGCAUCCUCCCCCUUUUUAUCAAUUUAACACAUGCAUUGCUCAUUAACAUGCAAAGUUACAUUCGGCCUUAGCACACAUCUUGCUAGCCGAUUCUUCUCCAUUUAGCAACCAAUGCACAUAUGUGCUCACACAACAAAAAAAAUGCUAAAAAGGAGGUUCAAGAAUCAUCAAGCCAUCAUCACAUGCAUCAUUAACAAGCUUCAUAUUUUGCAUGCAAUGGCAUUAACACAACCUCCACCUAGGCCGAAUCUUAACUCAUCCUCAUGCCUCAUCACCACAACAUCAAACAUCAACCAAGAAUGAUUCAUCCAUGGUCAAGUGCCAUUUCCAUCACAUAGCAAGAUUUAGACCAUGGGUUAGGUAGAACUCAAGCUAACAACUAAAACAUGCAUGCCUCUCAUGGAACAUCAUCAAACAUACCUUAGCCUAGCUACAUGCAUGGCCGAAUCUCUUCACCUUUCUUCUUCUUUCCUCCUUAAAAUUUUUGGCCAAGGAUGAACCAAAGGAUGAGAAAAUUUUUCUUUGUUUUUCUUUCUAGUUUUUGGCAAGCAUGAAGAUGAGAAAAGGAUGAACAAAAUUCCCCCUUUCUCUUGUUUAGCUCACGGCAAUGGGGGGACAAACACCACACACACACAUUUUUUUUUUCUUUUGUUUUCCAUUUCUUUAUUACCCAUACUCCUUAUUUUAUUCAUCCACUAACAAAACAUGUUUCAUGACAUGUUUUGCCCAUCCUUCCUUGUCAUGGCCGGCCACUACUCAUUAGGGGGGGGAAUUUGACAUGCAAGUCCCCCCCUUUGUCCACAUGCACUAGUAGGUCCUCACACAUUGACCUAUCACAUUUUAGAAUUUUCUCACAUAAGUCCUAUUCACUAAAUUCACAUGAAAUCAACCCAAUUGAAGCUUGAAAUUUUCACACAUUCAUAAUUACAUAUUCUACACAAUAAGUAUCACAUUCAAACAUUUCGGUGACUCGGUUUAGCGGUCCCGAAACCACUUCCCGACUAGGGUCAACUUUGGGCUGUCACAACUCUCCCCCACUUAAGAAAUUUUCGUCCCCGAAAAUCUUACCGGUAAAUAGGUUUGGGUAUCGUUCUUUCAUCGAGCUCUCGGUCUCCCAAGUAGCUUCCUCGAUCCCGUGUUUGAGCCAUAACACCUUUACUAGCGGAACUCUUUUGUUUCGUAAUUCCUUCACUUCACGAGCUAGAAUACGCAUCGGUUCUUCUUCAUAGCUCAUGUCAACUUGAAUUUCAAACUCUGAUGGGCUAAUUAUGUGCGAUGGAUCAGAUCGAUAGCGUCGAAGCAUCGAAACAUGAAAGACGUCAUGAAUCUUUUCAAGCUCCGGGGGCAAAAUCAAUCUAUACGCAACCGGACCAACUCGUUCGGAGAUUUCGUACGGCCCAAUGAAUCUUGGGCUCAACUUGCCCUUACGGCCGAACCUGAGUAUCUUUUUCCAAGGUGAAACCUUAAGGAACACUUUGUCUCCCACCUGAUACUCGAUGUCUUUUCGUUUCAAAUCUGCGUACGAUUUCUGACGAUCCGUGGAUACCUUCAGACUUUCACGGAUUACCUUUACUUUCUGUUCGGCAUCUCUAAUCAAAUCAACUCCGAAAAUUUUGCUUUCACCGAGCUCGGUCCAAAACAAUGGUGUACGGCAUUUACGACCGUACAAAGCCUCAUAAGGUGCCAUCUUAAUACUUGAUUGAAAACUAUUGUUGUAAGCGAAUUCAAUCAAAGGUAAAUACCGUUCCCAUGAACUACUGAACUCGAGGAUGCAACAUCUCAACAUAUCCUCAAGUAUCUGAAUUAUCCGCUCGGAUUGACCAUCGGUUUGGGGAUGAAAAGCGGUGCUAAAAUGCAGCUUGGUACCCAAAGCUUCUUGCAAUUUCUUCCAAAAUCGCGAGGUGAAUCUCGGAUCUCUAUCCGACACGAUAGAAAUAGGUACUCCAUGUAAUCUCACAAUCUGAGUAACAUACAAUUCGGCUAGUUUAUCCAAUGAAAAAUCCGUACGCACGGGGAUAAAGUGAGCCGACUUAGUCAGCCUAUCAACAACAACCCAAAUCGCAUCCUUCUUACUUGCGGACAAUGGCAGUCCGGACACAAAGUCCAUUGUGACUCGGUCCCAUUUCCACUCGGGUAUCAUGAUCGGCUGAAGUAAUCCUGAAGGCACUUGAUGUUCCGCUUUCACUUGUUGACAUAUUAAACAUCUCGAAACAAAGUCGGAGAUGUCUCGCUUCAUACCAUGCCACCAAAACCGACGUUUCAAGUCGUUGUACAUUUUCGUGCUCCCCGGGUGAAUUGACAUUCGGCCACAAUGGGCUUCGUUCAGAAUCAUCGGAAUGAGUUCUGAAUUCCUUGGAACGCACAAACGACUUCUAAACCUCAAACAACCAUCAUCAUCAAUCUGAAACUCCGAUUCCUUGUUCGGAACACACUCAGCUCGUUUUGCAACCAAUUCAUCAUCGACUUUCUGAGCUUCACGAAUUUGAUGAGUCAAUAAUGGUUUGGCUUUUAAUUCAGCUACUAACACAUUGUCAGGUAGAACAGACAAGUGUACAUUCAUCGCUCGCAAAUCAAACAGUGAUUUCCCGCUUAAGGCGUCCGCAACCACAUUAGCCUUUCCCGGAUGGUAAUCAAUGACAAGCUCGUAAUCUUUCAACAACUCAAGCCAACGUCUUUGUCGCAGAUUCAAGUCUCGUUGAGUCAUCAAAUAUUUGAGACUUUUGUGAUCCGAAAACACAUGGCACUUCUCACCAAACAAAUAAUGUCGCCAUAUUUUCAAUGCAAACACAAUGGCGGCUAGUUCGAGAUCAUGGGUCGGAUAAUUUCUUUCGUGUGGCUUCAAUUGUCUCGACGCAUAGGCCACAACUCGACCUUCUUGCAUCAAUAUGCAACCCAACCCGAGUAGGGAUGCGUCACUAUAAACAACAAACUCUUUACCCGAUUCGGGUUGCACCAAAAUUGGAGCUUCAGUCAGAUGAGUUUUCAGUUGAUCGAAGCUUUUCUGACAUUUCUCCGUCCAUUCGAACUUAACAUCCUUCUGAAGUAGCUUCGUCAUUGGUGUGGCUAUCAUCGAGAAACCUUUCACAAAUCGUCGGUAAUAACCGGCGAGCCCUAGAAAGCUCCGGACCUCGGUAACAUUUCUCGGAGGCUUCCAGUUAAGUAUGGCUGAAAUUUUGCUUGGGUCAACUCGAAUACCCGAUGCGGAUACCACAUGACCCAAGAAGCUAACCUCUCUUAACCAGAACUCACACUUACUGAACUUAGCAUAUAACUGCUUAUCCCGCAAAAUUUGCAACACUUGCCUCAGAUGCUCAGCAUGUUCGGUCUCAUCUUUUGAAUAGACCAAGAUGUCAUCAAUAAACACAACUACAAACCGAUCCAAAUACGGCCUGAAGAUCCGAUUCAUCAGAUCCAUAAACACCGCAGGGGCAUUAGUGAGCCCAAACGGCAUCACUAAGAACUCGUAGUGACCGUACCUCGUUCUGAAAGCAGUUUUGGGUACGUCCGAAUCUCGAAUCCGCAACUGAUAAUAACCCGAUCUCAAAUCUAUCUUUGAAAACACCGAUGCUCCCUUUAAUUGAUCGAACAGAUCAUCAAUACGCGGUAACAGAUACUUAUUCUUUAUCGUCACUUUAUUCAAUUGACGAUAGUCAAUGCACAACCUCAUGGUUCCGUCCUUCUUUUUCACGAACAAUACUGGUGCACCCCAAGGUGAGAAACUCGGUCGAGCGAAGCCUCUAUCCGUCAAUUCUUGCAACUGAGCUUUCAACUCUUUUAACUCGGUUAGUGCCAUACGAUACGGAGCGAUCGAGAUUGGCGUAGUUCCAGGUAUAAGCUCAAUUCCAAACUCUACUUCCCGAACAGGUGGCAAACCCGGUAACUCUUCAGGAAAAACAUCCGGGUAUUCACAAACCACCGGCACCGACUCGGGUUUCUUUUCUAACUCCUUGUUAUCAAGUACAUGCGCGAGGUAUACUUCGCACCCUUUCCUUACAUAUUUCUAGGCCAACAUUGCUGAUAUUACAGCUGGCAACCCCCUUAAGUCCGCAGACUCAACUCGGAUUAUUUCGUCAUUCGCGCACCUCAAAUCGAUAGUCUUGCUUUUGCAAUUCACAACCGCAUCAUGCGCGGUCAACCAAUCCAAACCAAGGAUAACAUCAAAUUCAUCAAACGGCAAAAGCAUCAAGUCCGCCGGAAAACAGGAACCUCGAAUUUCCAGGGGACAUUUCUUACACACUUUGUCGACAAGCACGUAACGACCCAAGGGAUUUGACACCCGAAUUACGAACUCAGUAGACUCAAUAGGUAAAGUCUUACUGGAUGCUAAGGUUUCACAUAUGUAAGAAUGAGUAGAACCGGGGUCAAUCAAAGCAAUUACAUUAGUAUCAAAGAGAGUGAAUGUACCGGUAAUAACAUCAGGCGAAGAAGCAUCCUCGCGGGCACGUAUAGCAUAAGCUCUAGCAGGCGCACGGGCUUCGGAUCUGGUUAUACCAUCUCUAGAUCCUCUCUGACCACCACCAUCAUUGCCCGCAUUUCUAGAUGGUCUACCCCGAGCAGUGGUAACACCCGGUCUCCCACUCUGAUUUGCAUUCUGUCCCGACAACCUCGGGCAAUCUUUAAUGAAGUGGUCAACUGAUCCGCAUUUGUAACAGGAGCGGUCAGGAAAUCUACAACUCCCCGAAUGCCAUUUACCGCAAUAUCGGCAUUUCGUUCUGUCUCGACGUUCAUCCCCAACACUGGCGACCGAAGUGCCUCGUGUACCCACAGGGGGUCGAUCACGAUCUCGUCUAAAAAGGCCCGAAGUGCCUCUAAACUGGCCCGCAUCAUCUCGAAAUCUCUUCGAUGUCUGUUGAAGAGACCUUCCCGAGGAUCUUUUACGAAACUCUCCAGUUCCCUCAUCAACUCUUUGCUUUUCUUUUCUAAGCUCUUCGGCUUUACAAGCUCGUUCAACAAGUACCACGAACUCUCGUAUUUCAAGAAUGCCAACGAACAUUUUUAUAUCUUCAUUCAGCCCAUCCUCGAAGCGUUUACACAUAAUAGCUUCGGACGAAACACAUUCCCGAGCGUAUUUGCUAAGUCUAACAAAUUUUCGCUCGUAAUCAGUAACCGACAUGGAGCCUUGCUUAAGCUCAAGAAAUUCCUUCCGUUUUUGAUCAACAAAUCUCUGACUGAUAUACUUUUUCCGAAACUCAGUUUGGAAAAACUCCCAAGUUACUUGCUCUCGGGGCACAACAGAAGUCAGAGUACUCCACCAAUAGUAGGCAGAAUCACGUAGCAAGGAGAUAGUACACUUUAGGCAUUCAUCGGGUGUACAAGAUAGCUCAUCGAGUACCCGGAUAGUGUUGUCCAACCAAAAUUCAGCUUGCUCGGCAUCGUCGCUAUCCGUAGCUUUAAAUUCAGUAGCCCCAUGUUUUCGGAUUCUAUCAACUGGGGGCUUAUUUGACCUUAUUUGGUCAAUUACCGGAGGUAUUGUAGGUGCGGGGGUAGUAUUUGUCGGGAAUGGAGGUUGUGGAAUAGCCAUAUUAGUUCGAAUGUAUUGGUUGAACCAAUCAUUCAUCACGCUAUAGAAUGCUUGUCUAGCUUCAUCAUUCGGAUUACUAGCAUUAUGUUGAGAGUCUGCCGGCACUGUCCCUUGUGCGGGAGCAGGCGCUACACUCUCAAGAUCAUCAGCUACCUCUCGGUCACGAUCGGGAUCCAUUACUAUAAAUAAACACAUUUACAAUUGUCAGAAAUCACCACACUAUCAAGUAAUCACAUAAAAUGGCAUGUAUAGCUAGACCCAACACAUUACGGUAGUCCUAGAAUCGACUAAACCGUAGCUCUGAUACCAAUAAAAUGUAACACCCCGAACCCGAGACCGACACCGGAGUCGGACACGAGAUGUUAACAAACUUUGAAAAAAAAAAAUUUUCAGAGACUGCCCAGUCUGAGUACUAGUCGCUUCAAAAAUCAUAACUUGAGUUUCACAACUCAAAAAUCAGUUUUGUGAUUUUUCCCUGAAACUAGACUCAUGUCCCCACCUAUGGAUUUUUUUCUAGAAUUUUUGGUCGGGCCAAUUAGUACAGUUUAUUAGUCAAAGUCUCCCAUGUUACAGGGGUCGACUACACUGACAUUUUCCCAUUACGACUUGGAUAUCUCUCUGCACAGAGCUUCAAUACUGAUGCCGUUUGUUUCUAUGGAAACUAGACUCAGAGAGGAAUCCAUACAUAUAUGGUAUGACCCCUAAUUAUCUCUGGUCAAUUUAUAGUGAAUUUCCAAAGGCGGAACAGUGAAUCCAGAAACUGUUCUGGCCCUGUUCCACAAGAACCCGAAUAUCUCUUUCUGUACUGUUCCUAUAAUUGUUUCGUUACUUCCAUAUGAAAGUAGAUUCAUCAAGGUUCGAUUACAUAAUUUAUUCACUAUUUAAUUCCACUCCUACGAAUUCUUGUGAUUUUUCCAAUCCACACCACUGCUGCUAUCAGCUUCUGUUUUCAAAGUGAACCUUACCUAAUUUGGGGUUUCAUGGACCAACUAGGGCCUUGUCAUACAUAAGCCCACAUAUGAUCAUACUUAGCCAUUCUAGUGGCUGAUCAUUUGCUCAACACUUCCAUUCCAACAUAGUUACAUCAUGAAACCAUCUAUACAUUCACAAAUACGAAUGGUCUAAUGCCAUACUCCACUUCUACAAGCCAUUUUCGCAUGGCUGUACACUUAUACAUUUCAUAAAGUACUCGAAAGACAACAAUGGGUAGUCCUAUACAUGCCAUAACAAAAUUCAACCAAAAUAGUACCCAAAAGAGCCUUUGAUAGUGUGGGCGACUUCGACUUCAAGAUCCCGAGUCCGAUAGCUGGAGAACCAAAAAUCUAUAAAACAGAGGAGCAAUGUAACGAGUAAGCAAUUUAUGCUUAGUAAGUUUGAGAAAGGAAUUCCAGCAUGCACAAAGAAUAGCACACAUUUAGCUAAACGGAAUAUUUCAUAAUACGCAAUUUACCGAUAUCAAACUUGCUUCACAACAUUAACAACCCUUAUGUACAUACACAAUAAACUAACUUGGCCGAAGGCCGGUAGCUCGUUUAUCAACUGAGCGAACAUUUAUUUGUAAGGGCUCGAUUAAAUUCAACACAUACGUAACAUAUCCCCAUAUUGGGAUGUUUUUCGAGUAUUCGCUGGAAUUUUACAGCAAGCUCAUUCAUUACCAAAUCACGUACCUUCGGGAUUUAACCGGAUAUAGCUCCUCGUUCAAAUGCCUUCGGGACAUAGCCCGGUUUUAGUAACUCACACAAUGCCUUCGGGACAUAACCCGGAUUUAACAACUCGCACGACUGCCUUCGGGACUUAACCCGGAUUUAAUAACUCGCACGAAUGCCUUCGGGACUUAACCCGGAUUUAAUAACUCGCACGAAUGCCUUCGGGACUUAACCCGGAUUUAGUAUCUCGCACAAAGGCCUUCGGAUCUUAAUCCGGAUAUAUUCACUUAGCACAAAGCCUUCGGGACUUAGCCCGGACAGCAUUCAAUUAAUCAUGCACAUCUAACAAUAAUUCAUAGCACAUUCAUAUUUCAUUUUCGUUUACGAAACUCAAACACAAGGCACAUAUUGCCCUUGCACAUUCGGCUCAAUAGCCACACAUAGAGCAUGAUUUAAUCACAUCGAAAUUUAAGCUCUCUUACUCAAGAACUUACCUCGGGUGUUGUCGAACGAUUCCGCUAGCUAUUCAACCACUUUUUCCUUCCCUUUAUCGGUUUUAUUUCCCCUUUGCUCUUGAGCUUAAUCAAACAAAUAAAUUGACCUCAUCAUUUUAGGCAUCAAAAGAUGAACACAAGGCACUUAGCCCAUAUUUAUACAUUAGACAUUAAAGUCUCAUACAUGCAAAAAUCAUGCAUCAACACAACAUAUUAGCUAAUUUCUUGCCCUUGGCCGAAUAUGCAUGUCCAUUUUUGGGGUCGAUUUCAACACUUAAUACACACAUGUACACACUAGUAAAGCAUCCUCCCCCUUUUUAUCAAUUUAACACAUGCAUUGCUCAUUAACAUGCAAAGUUACAUUCGGCCUUAGCACACAUCUUGCUAGCCGAUUCUUCUCCAUUUAGCAACCAAUGCACAUAUGUGCUCACACAACAAAAAAAAUGCUAAAAAGGAGGUUCAAGAAUCAUCAAGCCAUCAUCACAUGCAUCAUUAACAAGCUUCAUAUUUUGCAUGCAAUGGCAUUAACACAACCUCCACCUAGGCCGAAUCUUAACUCAUCCUCAUGCCUCAUCACCACAACAUCAAACAUCAACCAAGAAUGAUUCAUCCAUGGUCAAGUGCCAUUUCCAUCACAUAGCAAGAUUUAGACCAUGGGUUAGGUAGAACUCAAGCUAACAACUAAAACAUGCAUGCCUCUCAUGGAACAUCAUCAAACAUACCUUAGCCUAGCUACAUGCAUGGCCGAAUCUCUUCACCUUUCUUCUUCUUUCCUCCUUAAAAUUUUUGGCCAAGGAUGAACCAAAGGAUGAGAAAAUUUUUCUUUGUUUUUCUUUCUAGUUUUUGGCAAGCAUGAAGAUGAGAAAAGGAUGAACAAAAUUCCCCCUUUCUCUUGUUUAGCUCACGGCAAUGGGGGGACAAACACCACACACACACAUUUUUUUUUUCUUUUGUUUUCCAUUUCUUUAUUACCCAUACUCCUUAUUUUAUUCAUCCACUAACAAAACAUGUUUCAUGACAUGUUUUGCCCAUCCUUCCUUGUCAUGGCCGGCCACUACUCAUUAGGGGGGGGAAUUUGACAUGCAAGUCCCCCCCUUUGUCCACAUGCACUAGUAGGUCCUCACACAUUGACCUAUCACAUUUUAGAAUUUUCUCACAUAAGUCCUAUUGACUAAAUUCACAUGAAAUCAACCCAAUUGAAGCUUGAAAUUUUCACACAUUCAUAAUUACAUAUUCUACACAAUAAGUAUCACAUUCAAACAUUUCGGUGACUCGGUUUAGCGGUCUCGAAACCACUUCCCGACUAGGGUCAACUUUUGGCUGUCACACAUUAUGCUCAAAAUAUAUAUAAGCCAUUUUCGCAUGGAUAUCCAAAUUCGUACAAUAGCGAAAGGUACAUGACCAACAUAAAAAAGGGUAGUCCUAUACAUGCCAUUUCAGAGUUCAACCAAAAGUGUACCAAAGGGGCUUUGAUAGUGUGGACGACUUUGACUUUGACAAUCCCGAGUCCGAUAGCUGACGAACCAAAAUCUAUAAAACAGAGAUUCAAAGAACGGAGUAAGCAUUUAAUGCUUAGUAAGUUUUGAGCAAUAAAAUUAGGCACAACUGAAGUAUAGCAUUCAUAUAACUAAACGGAUAAUUUCAUAUACACAUAUUCUCAAAAAUCAGUCCUACUUCACAUUUCCAACCCUUAUAUUCAUACAUAAGGGAUCAACUUAACCAAAGGCCCGAAAGCUCACUAAUCGACUGAGCGGAUAAUAUUUAAACUAAAUCACUACUCCAAUGCAUAUACGAAACGUACCUUAUCGUUGGGAUUUUACGAGCGUAUUAAUUGAAAUUAUUACAGCAAGAUCGCUCAUUCCCAAACCAAGUACCUGCGGGGUUUAGACGGAUAUAGCUACUCGCUCAAAUGCCUUCGGGACUUAGCCCGAUUAUAGUAACUCGUACAAUUGCCUUCGGGACUUAGCCCGGUUAUAGAAACUCGCACAAUUGCCUUCGGGACUUGGCCCGGUUAUAGUAACUCGCACAAAUGCCUUUGGGACUUGGCCUGGUUAUAGUAACUUGCACAAAUGCCUUCGGGACUUAGCCCGGAUAUAGUAACUCGCACAAAUGCCUUCGGGCUUAGCCCGGUUAUCAAUCCGAAUAUCCAUGCACAUAUCAAUAAAUCACGACACAUCAAUAUUUCAUUUUCGUAACUAGAAUUCAAACACAAGUCACUUAUCAAGCAUUAUCAUUUUCAGCUCAAAAGCUACAUACAAAGGGCAUGAUUUUGAUUUGCUUAUAACAUAAUCUAAUCGAAUCAUAAUCUAAGUUUCAUUACUCGAAAACUUACUUCGGAUGUUGUCGAAUGAUUUCGGCGGCUAUUCGAUCACUUUUUCCUUUCCCUUGUCCAACUUUGGUCCUCUAAGCUCUUGAGCUAAUUCAAGCAAAAUUUAACUUAUUAAAGUCUCAUUAUGCUAGCUUAUGGCCGAAUAUGACAAGGAGUUGAUAGGUCAUAUGGCCACCUUUAGCUCAAAUACAAAGUGGUCAUACGCAUUUUUAAUCACAUUGAGCAAUUUAAUACAAUUAAUCUAACAUUUCCUCAUGUGCACCUUCAUGACCGAAUACACACAUCAUUAACCUAAUAUCAAUUAACUAAGCACUUUAACAAAUUCUCCUUGAGCCGAUCAUCUAAGUCAAGAUAAAAGCAUCAUUAUGCUUGCCCCUAACCAAUACAUGCAACACCAAUCUAUCUCAUGUGGCCGAAUAUGCAUGUCUAUGUUGAGGCCAAUUAUAUGCUUAAUACUUCCUACAAAUAUGUUUACUUGUAUUAACUACAUACCAUUUUGUUUCAAGUUCAAAACUCGGCUAAUACACAUAUAUACACUAGUAAUCAAAUACUCAUAUUUGCACUUCACCUUACUACCAUUUCUCAUGCAAAUAACAUGAACAACAACCAUAUUUCCUACUAUGGCCGAAUGUAUCAAGUCACCAUACCAUUUCAAUUUUGGUCAUGGGUUAAACAAAGAACCUAAUGUCUAACUCAAAAAAAAUGCUAAAAAGAAAAUCUAAGAGGCAUCAAUCCACCAUCACAUGUAUCAUUACAAAGCUUCACAUUUAGCAUGCAAAUGACAUCAACACAAACCACCUUAGCCGAAACUUAACUUAUCUUCAUGCAUCAUCACCACAACAUCAAACACCAACCAAGAAGACAACACCCAUGGCCGAAUAUCAUCUCUAUCACAUAGCAAAGAUCUAAACCAUGGGCCAGAUAAAACUCAAGCUAACAAUUAAAAACAUGCAGGAAUCUCAUGGAACAACAUCAAACAUACCUCCUCCUAAACACCAACCAACCGAACAUGAAGCAAGAAAAUCCUUUCUUCUUCCUUUCUCCUUAGAAUUUUCGGCCAAAGAUGUUCAAGAAUGAACACUUUUUUUUUGUUUUCUUUCUUCAAUUCACGGUAAUGGGGGGGGGAACAUGGAUGAGACAAUUUUUUUCAACACUCCUCCCUUUGCAUUACUUUAAUACUAACCCCUUUUUUUACUCUUUCUAACAUAACACACUAACACAACAUGUUUACAACAUGUUUCCACCCAUAGCAUGGCCGGCCACUAGCUCAAAAUUUGGGUAAUUUGACAUGCAAACCCAUCAUUUUUAUAACAUGCAUUAAUAGGCCACUUUACAUUUGCCUAGCACAUUUCUAAAUUUUCUCACAUAAGUCCUAUCUACUAAAAUUCACCUAGAAUUAACAAAAUUCAAAUAUGAAAUUUUCACACAUGCAUAUAUACAUAAAAUAAGCAUCAAACAUGAUAUCUAAUUAUUUUUAUGACUCGGUUUUGUGGUCCCGAAACCACUUCCCGACUAGGGUCACAUUAGGGCUGUCACAACUCUCCCCCACUUAAGAAAUUUUCGUCCCCGAAAAUCUUACCGGUAAACAGGUUUGGGUAUCGUUCUUUCAUAGAGUUCUCAGGUUCCCAAGUAGCUUCUUCCAUCCCAUGUUUGAGCCAUAACACUUUUACUAGAGGAACCUUUUUGUCUCGCAACUCUUUCACUUCACGAGCUAGGAUACGAAUUGGUUCUUCUUCAUAACUCAUAUCGGCUUGAAUUUCAACCUCGGAGGGACUUAUUAUGUGCGAAGGAUCAGAUCUGUAACGUCAAAGCAUCGAAACAUGAAAAACGUUGUGGAUCCUUUCGAGUUCAGGGGGUAAAAGCAACCUAUAUGCAGCUGGACCAACUCGUUCGGAGACUUCAUACGGUCCAAUGAAUCUCGGACUCAAUUUGCCCUUACGGCCAAAUCUGAGUAUUUUUUUCCAAGGUGAAACUUUAAGAAACACUUUGUCUCCCACCUGAUACUCAAUGUCUUUUCGUUUCAAAUCCGCGUACGACUUCUGACGAUCUGUGGCUGCCUUCAAACUUUCACGGAUUACUUUUACUUUCUAUUCAGCAUCUUUAAUCAAAUCAACUCCGAAAUUUUACUUUCACCGAGCUCGGUCCAAAACAAUGGUGUACGACAUUUACGACCGUACAAAGCCUCGUAAGGUGCCAUCUUAAUACUUGACUGAAAACUAUUAUUGUAAGCGAAUUCAAUCAAAGGUAAAUACCGCUCCCAUGAACCACUAAACUCGAGGAUGCAACAUCUCAACAUAUCCUCAAGUAUCUGAAUUAUCCGCUCGGAUUGACCAUCGGUUUGGGGGUGAAAAGCGGUGCUAAAAUGCAACUUGGUACCCAAAGCUUCUAGCAAUUUCUUCCAAAAUUGUGAGGUGAAUCUCGGAUCUCUAUCCGACACAAUAGAAAUGGGCACCUCAUGUAAUCUCACAAUCUGAGAAACAUACAAUUCAGCUAGUUUAUCCAAUGAAAAAUCCGUAUGUACGGGAAUAAAAUGAGCCGACUUAGUCAGUCUAUAUACAACAACCCAAAUCGCAUCUUUCUUACUUGCCGACAAUGGCAACCCAGAUACAAAAUCCAUCGUAACUCGAUCCCAUUUCCAUUCAGGUAUCAUGAUCGGCUGAAGUAAACCUGUGGGCACUUGAUGUUCCGCUUUCACUUGUUGACAUAUUAAACACUUCGAUACAAAAUCGGAAAUGUCUCGUUUCAUACCAUGCCACCAAAACUGACGUCUCAAAUCGUUGUACAUUUUCGUACUCCCCAAGUGAAUUGACAUUCGGCUACAAUGAGCUUCGUUCAGAAGCAUCGAAAUGAGUUCUGAAUUUCUUGGAACACACAAACGACUUCUGAACCUCAAACAAUCGUCAUCAUCAAUUUGAAACUCUGAUUCCGUAUUCGGAACACAUUUAGCCCGUUUUGCAACCAAUUCAUCAUUGACUUUCUGAGCUUCACGAAUUUGAUGGAUCAACAAUAGUUUGGCCUUUAAUUCUGCCACUAACACAUUGUCGGAUAGAACGGACAAGUGUACAUUCAUUGCUCGUAAAGCAAACAGUGAUUUCCGGCUUAAGGCGUCCGCAACCACAUUAGCCUUUCCCGGGUGAUAAUCAAUGACAAGCUCAUAAUCCUUCAACAACUUAAGCCAACGCCUUUGUCGCAGAUUCAAGUCUCUUUGAGUCAUCAAAUAUUUGACACUUUUGUGAUCCGAAAAUACAUGGCACUUCUCACCAAAUAAGUAAUGUCGCCAUAUUUUUAAAGUGAAUACGAUGGCAGCUAAUUCGAGAUCAUGGGUUGGAUAAUUUUUCUUAUGUGGCUUCAGUUGCCUUAACGCAUAAGCUACAACUCGACCUUCUUGCAUCAAUACACAACCCAACCCAAGUAAGGAUGCAUCACUGUAAAUGACGAACUCCUUGCCUGAUUCGGGCUGCACUAGUACUGGAGCUUCCGUCAAAUGGGUUUUCAAUUGAUCAAAACUUUUCUGACACCUUUCCGUCCA